RNAcentral lists this ribosomal RNA (619 nucleotides) under uncultured bacterium. RNAcentral describes it as "bacterial SSU rRNA". It matches the Rfam family "Bacterial small subunit ribosomal RNA", at positions 338 to 948 of the family's 1533-position model. The record is from RNAcentral.
CCUACGGGAGGCAGCAGUGGGGAAUUUUGGACAAUGGGCGAAAGCCUGAUCCAGCAAUGCCGCGUGAGUGAAGAAGGCCUUCGGGUUGUAAAGCUCUUUUGUCAGGGAAGAAACGGUGAGAGCUAAUAUCUCUUGCUAAUGACGGUACCUGAAGAAUAAGCACCGGCUAACUACGUGCCAGCAGCCGCGGUAAUACGUAGGGUGCAAGCGUUAAUCGGAAUUACUGGGCGUAAAGCGUGCGCAGGCGGUUUUGUAAGUCUGUCGUGAAAUCCCCGGGCUCAACCUGGGAAUUGCGAUGGAGACUGCAAGGCUAGAAUCUGGCAGAGGGGGGUAGAAUUCCACGUGUAGCAGUGAAAUGCGUAGAGAUGUGGAGGAACACCGAUGGCGAAGGCAGCCCCCUGGGUCAAGAUUGACGCUCAUGCACGAAAGCGUGGGGAGCAAACAGGAUUAGAUACCCUGGUAGUCCACGCCCUAAACGAUGUCUACUAGUUGUCGGGUUUUAAUUAACUUGGUAACGCAGCUAACGCGUGAAGUAGACCGCCUGGGGAGUAACGGUCGCAAGAUUAAAACUUCAAAGGAAUUGACGGCUGAGAGNGCGAGACGACGACGAGGGAGGAGG